CAGCCGCCACGGUAAUACGUAGGGUGCAAGCGUUAAUCGGAAUUACUGGGCGCAAAGCGUGCGCAGGCGGUUCGUUAAGACAGAUGUGAAAUCCCCGGGCUUAACCUGGGAACUGCAUUUGUGACUGGCGGGCUAGAGUAUGGCAGAGGGGGGUAGAAUUCCACGUGUAGCAGUGAAAUGCGUAGAGAUGUGGAGGAAUACCGAUGGCGAAGGCAGCCCCCUGGGCCAAUACUGACGCCCAUGCACGAAAGCGUGGGGAGCAAACAGGAUUAGAUACCCGCGUAGUCCCUGUCUCUUAUAC
RNAcentral lists this ribosomal RNA (301 nucleotides) under uncultured bacterium. RNAcentral describes it as "partial 16S ribosomal RNA". It matches the Rfam family "Bacterial small subunit ribosomal RNA", at positions 509 to 807 of the family's 1533-position model. The record is from RNAcentral.